Molecule: transfer RNA, 73 nt
Filed under: Stegodyphus mimosarum
Lineage: Eukaryota; Metazoa; Arthropoda; Arachnida; Araneae; Eresidae
Rfam family: tRNA
About the family: Transfer RNA (tRNA) molecules are approximately 80 nucleotides in length. Their secondary structure includes four short double-helical elements and three loops (D, anti-codon, and T loops).
Source: Rfam by way of RNAcentral
GCCUUUGUGGUGUAGCGGUCAGCACACUGGACGCGUUACGGAGAGGUCCGUGGUUCGAUUCCCGGCGAAGGCG